This 853-nucleotide ribosomal RNA is filed under the name uncultured marine group I thaumarchaeote. RNAcentral's name for it is "SSU rRNA". It matches the Rfam family "Archaeal small subunit ribosomal RNA", at positions 23 to 883 of the family's 1478-position model. The record is from RNAcentral. Lineage: Archaea; Thermoproteati; Nitrososphaerota.
CUGACUGCUAUCGGAUGAUACUAAGCCAUGCGAGUCUUUGUAGUAAUACAAGGCAGACGGCUCAGUAACACGUAGUCAACCUACCCUAUGGACAAGAAUAAUCUCGGGAAACUGGGCAUAAUUCUUGAUAGAUCAUAAUGCCUGGAAUGGUUUAUGGUUAAAAUGAUUCGUCGCCAUAGGAUGGGACUGCGGCCUAUCAGCUUGUUGGUGAGGUAAUGGCCCACCAAGGCGAUUACAGGUACGGGCUCUGAGAGGAGAAGCCCGGAGAUGGGUACUGAGACACGGACCCAGGCCCUAUGGGGCGCAGCAGGCGAGAAAACUUUGCAAUGUGCGAAAGCACGACAAGGUUAAUCCGAGUGAUUUCUGCUAAAGAAAUCUUUUGCCAGUCAUAAAACCACUGGUGAAUAAGGGGUGGGCAAGUUCUGGUGUCAGCCGCCGCGGUAAAACCAGCACCUCAAGUGGUCAGGAUGAUUAUUGGGCCUAAAGCAUCCGUAGCCGGCUUUGUUAGUUUUCGGUUAAAUCCAUGUGCUCAACGCAUGGGCUGCCGAAAAUACUGCAUAGCUAGGGAGUGGGAGAGGUAGACGGUACUCAGUAGGAAGGGGUAAAAUCCUUUGAUCUAUUGAUGACCACCUGUGGCGAAGGCGGUCUACCAGAACACGUUCGACGGUGAGGGAUGAAAGCUGGGGGAGCAAACCGGAUUAGAUACCCGGGUAGUCCCAGCUGUAAACGAUGCAGACUCGAUGAUGCAUUGGCAUAAUAGCCAAUGCAGUGUCGCAGGGAAGCCGUUAAGUCUGCCGCCUGGGAAGUACGUACGCAAGUAUGAAACUUAAAGGAUUGGCGGGGGAGCACCACA